RNAcentral lists this ribosomal RNA (484 nucleotides) under uncultured bacterium. RNAcentral describes it as "partial 16S ribosomal RNA". It matches the Rfam family "Bacterial small subunit ribosomal RNA", at positions 30 to 507 of the family's 1533-position model. The record is from RNAcentral.
AUUGAACGCUGGCGGCAGGCCUAACACAUGCAAGUCGAGCGGAUGAAGGGAGCUUGCUCCUGGAUUCAGCGGCGGACGGGUGAGUAAUGCCUAUGAAUCUGCCUGGUAGUGGGGGAUAACGUCCGGAAACGGGCGCUAAUACCGCAUACGUCCUGAGGGUGAAAGUGGGGGAUCUUCGGACCUCACGCUCUCAGAUGAGCCUAGGUCGGAUUAGCUAGUUGGUGGGGUAAAGGCCUACCAAGGCGACGAUCCGUAACUGGUCUGAGAGGAUGAUCAGUCACACUGGAACUUAGACACGGUCCAGACUCCUACGGGAGGCAGCAGUGGGGAAUAUUGGACAAUGGGCGAAAGUCUGAUCCAGCCAUGCCGCGUGUGUGAAGAAGGUCUUCGGAUUGUAAAGCACUUUAAGUUGGGAGGAAGGGCAGUAAGUUAAUACCUUGCUGUUUUGACGUUACCAACAGAAUAAGCACCGGCUAACUUCGUG